Empidonax traillii (willow flycatcher) is the source of this 285-nucleotide long non-coding RNA. RefSeq lists it as uncharacterized. NCBI's taxonomy places the organism in Eukaryota, Metazoa, Chordata, Aves, Passeriformes, Tyrannidae. The record is from RefSeq and is a predicted model, not a curated record. The transcript has 2 exons.
UGAGCUUCAGAAAUAUUGCACCAGCAAAGGUGUGUCAAACACGACCAGGGCAGGGACCAUCGCUCUGUGCUGGGCACUGCUGUGCCCUUCAAAAUGACAUCAGGGGAAACUGAAUCCAUUUGCAUUUCUUCAGAUGGCCAAAUCAUUGCAGAAAGUUGAAACUACUUGUGAAAAAUAACAACCAGGAAAACAGGGACAAUCAGUGAACUUGAAAUGACAGAAUAAACGAGGUAUUCUGAGCACUCAGCAAAGUGCAUUUACUGCUCUGUAUUUACUAGUUUUUUU